Phascolarctos cinereus (koala) is the source of this 1586-nucleotide long non-coding RNA. NCBI's taxonomy places the organism in Eukaryota, Metazoa, Chordata, Mammalia, Diprotodontia, Phascolarctidae. The record is from Ensembl.
CAUAACAUAGCUAACACAUAUCAGAGACCAGAUCUGAACCCAGGUCUUCCUGACGCACUUUCAGUACUCUAUCCAUUCUGCAGCUGCUUCCAUCUCCUACUUCUUUUGCCCUCAUCCCCAUAUCUUCAUUGUCAAUAUUUUAUCCCAUUUUCCCCAUCUCCCACCUCUCCAUCCCCAUGUAAUAUACAUGACCCUGACAGCCUUGCUCCUCACCCUGUCUCCCAUAAAGAUUCAUACCCAAAGGCCCAUUCAUGCCUUCUUCUCCACUGUCUUUAGGCCCACUGCCCCAAAAGUCGUUCCCGAGAGAAAGAAGCUGUCUUAUCUUUUUUCCAGGAGGGGGCCUAGUCAGUCAGCCCUGUGCCCUUGACCACGCGCCGCCAGAGUCGCCAGGGCUAAAAGGCAGGUAGUGUCUCCCCUGAACUCAGCGAUGCAACGGUGCCACAUCUGGCCGAACGUUGGACCACUUGUCGCUAAGUAGCUCAUUCACCGGCGCAGCUGUCACCAUAACAACGCGAGUGAGCGAACUGGGGGCUCGGGGUGGGGGUGGGGGGUGGCGGAGGGAGAAAGGAAGAAGGGAAGGAAGGAGGGAAGAAGGGAGGGAAGGAGGGCGGCGGCUGGUAGGGGGGAGAAGAUCAGACUCGGGAGUGGCCAACAACCCCAGCCCGCCCCGAGGACCCCCUAGGGCUCAGCACCAGCAACCCUCGCUCCAUGCAGACCCUGUGGCCGGAGAGGGUCAAGAAAGACACAGCAGCGGCCAGCCGGGAGAACGGAGAUCAUGCCCCGAGAGUGGCAGAGAAGAGAUAGUGGCGAAGCUGAGCACCCCCGGCAAGGCCGGGGGCCCUAGACUCUAUGGAAGCUGGGGAGCGCGCCCGAGCCGCCGCGCAGCGCAGCCGGAGCAGAAGCCCAAGCAGCAGCACGAGCAAAAGCUGGGGCAGGACCGAGAGCAGACACAGGAACAGGAGCAGAAGAAGGCGGGGGGCCUCUGCCGGGCCCAGCCCAGGGACCUCCAGAGCCAGACAGCUAGGCGGCCACCAGGCAGCCCGGGACGGGCACUAAAACCCCAAGCCCUUGACCACUGGCUGCCCAGCCCCGCCCGGGGGAAUGGGAGGCGGCUAGACUGUCCGAGGAAGGAGAACUGGAGACGAGCGGCCGCUGUCCCAGGGGAAGUCCCGCUUCAGCUGAAAAGAGAAGCGACUGAGGAGGAGAGCAGGGGAGAACGGACUGGGAGCCAGCGCAGUCCGGCGGCGGCGGCGCAGCGCAACGCAGCGCAGCCCCCCUCCCUCCGCGGGCGCGCACCCUCGUUCACACGGACACACACACGGACACGGACACGGGCACUCUCCGUCACACACGCACACGCGCGGAGCCCCAGCUCCUUCAUUUCAGCUUCGCCCGCUCGCCUGAUAGAACACCGUCGUUACUUAACCCUCCGGUUUUGGAUGUCAUGGGUAACAGCUUCUCCAGUAUUCCCGCCCUGCCCCGGGGCAGCCCAAACAGGGGACCCCGGGUCCAUCGCCAGCACCUGCAAGGUAAGGCAGAGCCAUGGCGGGGAGGUGGGGGCACUGUGCACUGGGGACUGGGCGAAA